RNAcentral lists this long non-coding RNA (2429 nucleotides) under Canis lupus familiaris (dog). RNAcentral's name for it is "lncRNA (ENSCAFG00845028492.1)". Lineage: Eukaryota; Metazoa; Chordata; Mammalia; Carnivora; Canidae. The record is from RNAcentral.
UUUUUUUUUUUUUUUUUUAUCAGGGAGCUGGAUUCCUCGCUGCUCCUUUUUCUUUUUUUUUUUUUUAAGAUUUUAUUUUUUUAUUUAUUUAUGAGAGACACAGAGCGAGCAAGAGAGAGAGAGAGAGAGAGAGGCGGAGGGAGAAGCAGGCCCCAUGCAGGGAACCUGAUGUGGGACUCCAUCCAGGGUCUCCAGGAUCACGCCCCGGGCUGCAGGCAGCACUAAACCGCUGCACCACCAGGGCUGCCCUGGGGAUUUUUACUCUUAAAUAUUUCCCUGUACUCAGCAGACUUUCAGAAGAACAAGUCUGUAGGCAUCUUAUAAUUCUUUGAUUGCCAGCUGAAUUAGGCACCUCUUCCCUGCCAUACCCUACCCCCAUCUUUUUUUCCUGUGCCAUUAGAAAAGUCUUUUCACUCCCAUUUUACAGAAGAGGAAACCGAAUGUACCCAGUGCAUCAGGAUUUGACCAAGUAAAUGCUUUGCUGAUGGAUAGUAUUAGCAACAACAGCUAUACAAAUAUCUUUUGCUUGCAUCAUGUAAUACGGCUUUAUGUACAUUCUGUCAUCAUCAGUCACCAUUAGCAAAUAGACACUAAUGUCCCUAUUUUAUAGAAGAGGAAACCAUGGCUCUAAGAGGAUGAGUGAUUCUCAACAGUCACACAGCAAGUGCUGUUUAGACUUAUGAGGAAGCACUGUAUUGAUUCCAAGAAACCUGGGGGCAAGGGAGAAAGAGGUCCAUGGGGAGAAAAAGAGCCACCCUACACAAAAAGCAUUUUACAAAUAUUAACUCAAGAAUCAAAGCUGGUUACAGCAGAGAUUGGAUAAGAAUCCAGAUCUUUGACUCCUAGUCCAGUGCUUUUCCCUUUAUGCAAGAUGGUGGGAAGCAAGUCUAGGAUCCAGACCUGUCUGGCAGCCUUGAUUUGGGAUCAUAAGCCUGAGAGACAGCAGUGCUUUUAUUAAGAAAAAGAAGGGGGGUGUGGAGGGGAAGCAGCAUUUUCACUUCCCUGCACUUCCCUUAUCCACAAUAAGCACGUGCUACCUGUAUCAUCAGAAACAAAGAAGGGGAAGGCAAAGUCAUCCUUCUGAAAGGACCCUGAGGCUGGCCCUGGGGUUGCUCUGGGCUCCUCCCUGGCAUUUUUGGGUACUCUCUGAUCCAUCACCACAGGCCAUCUGGUCCAUCUUAUGGGCAGGGGGAUGGGAAGCAGGGCUGGGGAAGAAUUCUAGAAGUUCCUACUGAGACUGAAGUGAGCAGACACAGACACAGGAGUUCCCAGGUCCGUGAAACACCCUGACAUUGGAAGCUGAAUGCUGUAGGCCCACAUCUUUAAAAAAAAAAAAAAAAAAUUUAAGAUUUUAUUUAUUUACUCAUGAGAGACAGGGGGGUGGGGGGCACAGACACAGGCAGAGGGGGGAGCAGACUCCAUGCAGGGAGCCCAACACGGGACUCAAUCCCCGGUCUCCAGGAUCACACUGGGCUGAAGUGGCACUAAACCGCUGAGCCACCCGGGCUGCCCCCACAUCGUUUUUAGAAGGGGCACCCAUGACCCUCCAAAGGGUAAGAAUCCCAGAUCACAAUGAUGAACCAGAGCUUCAAGGUUGGGAUGACUGCUCAAACAAGCACCAAGAAACCUAAAAAAUCUUGUCUCCCUCUGAGAGUACCUGGCAAGGGUAAGAGAAGUAUGAAUAGAACAAGGUCCUGCCUCAUGUACAUCUCACAACAUUAAUUUGAAUUCUGCUUUUUUUCCCCCUGAGCCGAUCCUUUCCCCCAUUCAAAGCAGUAGGGUAGACAGGCAUAAUUAUUUACAGCUCCAAUCUCAGACACCCUCCUCUUUCUGCCUGGCCUGUAGUUGAUAAAGUACAGUUUCUGAUCCUGGGGGCAGUGUGUCCACAGCUUCUUAUCUGGUCUCCUUACCCAGGGACUAAGCCUCUGAUUUCCAUACUGUGGCCAACUUUCUUCCCAGGUGCUUCCUAAAAAGCCAGCUGCAAGUCUCAGCAAGCACUGAAUUCCAUUCUACCACACUGAUCCAGCUCCUACCAUGUGCUAGGUGUUAUGACGCAGUCACAGUUGGUGGAAUAAAUUCUCAGUGUGGCCUGGGAGACUGCAGGUUAAUGGCAGGACAGAUAACACUCACCUGUCAGGUUGGGGGAGGGAGAAACUGCACAAAGGUGAGACACCACCCCACCACCCCCUGCCUAGGAGGACAACUGAUUAACAGGCUCGGGAUUGAGGGGGUAGCUUCUUGGAGGUGCAACAGUAGCUCUGGAGCUGUGUAUGAAGGGGAAGGAUCCCUCUGCGAAGGAAUGGGGGAGGCCUUGUAGUACUGUAGGAAGGGCAGAGGCAGUAAAAUGCUGGGCAAGUUUGGGAAAUAGGCAGCAACUAGAGCCUGGGUUGUGGGGGGGGGGAGGAGGGGCAGAAAGGAAGGAGAGAAAC